AAUAUAGUAUUCUCGUCUCCGUCUUAGAAAAUUUUCUGCGUCUUCAUCCCUAUGGCUGCGUUUGGUUCGGGUAUAAGUAAGAACUGCUAGUUCGAGUGAUAGGUAUAAGUUCAGGUAUAAGAAGGAAUUAGACCAAUUUUGCGUUUGGAUGAAAAUUGAGUUGUUCCUAGGAAUAAGUUAAAUAGUGUUUGGAUAGUUAGAUUGGAACAAGAGGAAUAAAAGUUAUAAUUUAUUUGAAAUUAAAAUUAUAUUAUGUAAUUAGUUAACAUCAAAAUAUUACUGAAAAAUAAAUAAGAAAUUAAUUAUUAAUAAUUAAUUAUAAAUAAUAAUAAUUAAUAAUAAUUAAUUAUAAAUAAUAAAUUAUUAAUAACGAUUAUCUAAUUAAUAAUAAUUAUUAUUAUUAUUAAUUAUUAAUAAAUAAUAAUAAUUAUUAAUUAUUCUUAUUAAUUAAUUAUAAAUAAUAAAUUAUUAAUAAUAUUGAUUAUCUAAUUAUUAAUAAUAAUUAAUAUUAAUAUUAAUUAAUAAAUAAUAAUAAUUAAUAAAUAAUAAUUAUUAUUAUUAAUAAUUAAUUAUAAAUAAUAAAUUAAUAAUAACAUCGAUUAUCUAAUUAUUAAGAAUAAUAAUAAUUAAUUAAUUAUUAAUAAAUAAUAAUAUUAAUUUAUUAAUUAUUAAUUAUAAAUAAUAUAUUAAUAAUAAUAUCGAUUAUCAUUAAGAAUAAUAAUUAUUAAUAAAAAAUUAAUAAAUAUUAUUAAUUAUUAAUAAUUAAUUAUAAAUAAUAAAUUAAUAAUAAUUAUUAUUUAAUUAUUAAUAAUUAAUUAUAAAUAAUAAAUUAAUAAUAAUAUCCAUUAUCAUUAAGAAUAAUAAUUGUUAAUAAUUAUUAAAUAAAUAAUCAUAAAUAUUAUU
This 903-nucleotide long non-coding RNA is filed under the name Ananas comosus (pineapple). RNAcentral's name for it is "long non-coding RNA (ACOM_LNC014068)". Lineage: Eukaryota; Viridiplantae; Streptophyta; Magnoliopsida; Poales; Bromeliaceae. The record is from RNAcentral.